Molecule: long non-coding RNA, 417 nt
Filed under: Nicotiana benthamiana
Lineage: Eukaryota; Viridiplantae; Streptophyta; Magnoliopsida; Solanales; Solanaceae
Description: long non-coding RNA (NBEN_LNC017144)
Source: RNAcentral
UUACGUCCAGUCUCCCGAGAGACGCUCUCGAGCUGCAACUAACUCCGUUAAGCUUAAAGGUGCUCAACAAACCAAUUCAACUUGAGAACUCGAGUCACACGAGCCUCAACAACGUUUGCUCGGAGAUACCGCACUCCAAGACUUCAACCGAAGAAGCUGCAACUAACUCUGUUAAGCUUAAAGGUGCUCAAAAAACCAAUACAACUUGAGAACUCGAGUCACACGAUCCUCAACAACGUUUGCUCGGAGAUACCGCACUCCAAGACUUCAACUGAAGGAAUGGAACCUUCCUUCUUACAACAACAAGGGAUUAGACUUCCCUUCAAGUGUAUACAAACACUUAGCACUCAAGAACAGGACUCUCUUAUAGAGUAGAUAUGAGUAGACCUAAGAACGCUCAAGAAUACAACAAUUUCU